This 481-nucleotide ribosomal RNA is filed under the name uncultured soil bacterium. RNAcentral describes it as "bacterial SSU rRNA". It matches the Rfam family "Bacterial small subunit ribosomal RNA", at positions 26 to 518 of the family's 1533-position model. The record is from RNAcentral.
AGGACGAACGCUGGCGGCGUGCCUAAUACAUGCAAGUCGAACGAGACUUUCCUUGGUGGUAACACCUUUGAUUGUCUAGUGGCGAACGGGUGAGUAACACGUGAGAAACCUGCCCUGAAGACGGGGAUAACAGAAGGAAACUUCUGCUAAUACCCGAUACCCCCACCGGAUCGCAUGGUCUGGUGAGGAAAUGGAUUCCGCUUCAGGAGGGUCUCGCGGCCUAUCAGCUUGUUGGUGAGGUAACGGCUCACCAAGGCUUGGACGGGUAGCUGGUCUGAGAGGACGAUCAGCCACACUGGGACUGAGACACGGCCCAGACUCCUACGGGAGGCAGCAGUAAGGAAUAUUGCGCAAUGGGCGAAAGCCUGACGCAGCAACGCCGCGUGCGGGAUGAAGGCCCUGGGUUGUAAACCGCUUCAGUAAGGAAGAAAAUGACGGUACCUACAGAAGAAGCCCCGGCAACUACGUGCCAGCAGCCGAC